UACGUAGGGCGCAAGCGUUGUCCGGAAUUAUUGGGCGUAAAGAGCUCGUAGGCGGUCUGUUACGUCCGCUGUGAAAACCCAGGGCUUAACCCUGGGCUUGCAGUGGAUACGGGUAGACUAGAGGCAGGUAGGGGAGAAUGGAAUUCCCGGUGUAGCGGUGAAAUGCGCAGAUAUCGGGAGGAACACCGGCGGCGAAGGCGGUUCUCUGGGCCUGACCUGACGCUGAGGAGCGAAAGCGUGGGGAGCGAACAGG
This 253-nucleotide ribosomal RNA is filed under the name uncultured bacterium. RNAcentral's name for it is "partial 16S ribosomal RNA". It matches the Rfam family "Bacterial small subunit ribosomal RNA", at positions 524 to 776 of the family's 1533-position model. The record is from RNAcentral.